This is a long non-coding RNA of Scophthalmus maximus (turbot), 709 nucleotides long. RefSeq lists it as uncharacterized. The record is from RefSeq and is a predicted model, not a curated record. The transcript is spliced from 3 exons. Lineage: Eukaryota; Metazoa; Chordata; Actinopteri; Pleuronectiformes; Scophthalmidae.
CCUCCUCCUCCUCCUCCAGGAGAAGCUGCAGUCGUCUGGAGCUCUUCAUCUCUUCCUUGACUACUAUCUGAAACACUGUGUAUAUAUUAAUGUUUCCGCCGUCGAUACAAUGACCGCAACACACCGGAGCAAAUGCGACAUGUUUGCUCUUAUCGUGAAGCUCGUGUUGACCUGCCACGACGAGUGACCUCUGCUCUCCUGUGGGCUGAAGGCUUCACCCCACGUCCUCUUGGACGGGGCCAACAGCAGGGUCGGACCUUUCAAUUGACUGAAAAACACGGCAGGACAAAAUCGUGCCGUCAAAUAUUUCAAUUUAUUGAUUACAUCCUGAAAAGGGAGCUGGGACUGGCUGUGUGGAUCGAUCGGAGGGAUUGAUCGUGUAGAGGAGCGCGGUUACCGUGAGAAAUGAAGGGGCACUGUUCACAGAUGACAGAGCGUCGGUAGAAAAUGUCUCAUGCGGAUGGCCGGACGAGGAACCCCUCGCAGAAGGGGGCGUGUCUGCUGGUGAGCCGUCACUUUGACCACGAGGAUCCGCUGAAGAUGCAUGAAUCAACCGUCACGAUCGGCUCUAUACCGUCAGACUCGUCUCAGAUGGCCUGUGGCCUCCAGGCAGAAUGGAAAACGCCACGUUGCAGCGCAGCUUUUCUUUCUCCUCCCUCCCUCCCUCCCUCUCUCCCUCCCUCCCUCCCUCCCUCCCUCUCUCCCUCCC